RNAcentral lists this ribosomal RNA (497 nucleotides) under uncultured bacterium. Its description in RNAcentral is "partial 16S ribosomal RNA". It matches the Rfam family "Bacterial small subunit ribosomal RNA", at positions 28 to 507 of the family's 1533-position model. The record is from RNAcentral.
GAUGAACGCUGGCGGCGUGCCUAAUACAUGCAAGUCGAGCGAACAGAUGAGGAGCUUGCUCCUCUGACGUUAGCGGCGGACGGGUGAGUAACACGUGGAUAACCUACCUAUAAGACUGGGAUAACUUCGGGAAACCGGAGCUAAUACCGGAUAAUAUAUUGAACCGCAUGGUUCAAUAGUGAAAGACGGUUUUGCUGUCACUUAUAGAUGGAUCCGCGCCGCAUUAGCUAGUUGGUAAGGUAACGGCUUACCAAGGCAACGAUGCGUAGCCGACCUGAGAGGGUGAUCGGCCACACUGGAACUGAGACACGGUCCAGACUCCUACGGGAGGCAGCAGUAGGGAAUCUUCCGCAAUGGGCGAAAGCCUGACGAAGCAACGCCGCGUGAGUGAUGAAGGUCUUCGGAUCGUAAAACUCUGUUAUUAGGGAAGAACAAAUGUGUAAGUAACUAUGCACGUCUUGACGGUACCUAAUCAGAAAGCCACGGCUAACUACGUG